Peromyscus leucopus (white-footed mouse) is the source of this 329-nucleotide long non-coding RNA. RefSeq lists it as uncharacterized. Lineage: Eukaryota; Metazoa; Chordata; Mammalia; Rodentia; Cricetidae. The transcript is spliced from 2 exons. The record is from RefSeq and is a predicted model, not a curated record.
CUCAGAAGGUUCUAGAGUCUCUGACUGGUCAACCUAGAAGACACCUUUCUUCCAAGUUGGACUGAUGGAUCCAUGCUAGAGAGUUUCAGGGUGGGUAAUGACCAGCAGAUGCAGCUCCAGGAAGCUCAGAGCCAAAGCACUUUCCAAAUCUGCUAGACAGGAUCUCCUUCUCCUCUAUAAUGAGAGACUGUCCUAUCCCGGGCCCAGAGCCAAAUGCUGAGAAGACAUACCAAAAGGGAAUCCAGUGCCUGGCCUCUCAAGAAGCCAUGGACAAUGGAGAAGACAGACAGAACAGAGGCGAUCUGUGUAAUCAAGCACAUUGCUGCAGA